UUCUCACGCUACAACCUUUCAUUGCACUGUUUUGCAGAUGACUUGCAGAUCUAUCUGCCUUUAAAAGCAGGGACAGACCAACUUCAGCUAUUAUUACGCUGCCUGGAGGACAUCAAACAGUGGAUGUCUUUAAAUGUUUUAAAAUUAAAUGAAAACAAAACAGAAGUUGUCAUUUUUGGUAACUUCGUUAAUAAUCACACUGACAGUGCUCUGGGCCCAUUAUCCAUGUAAGACAAAUGUUAGAAACCUCGGUGUGCAUGUUGAUGGUUCCCUCAAACUGUGUAGGCAGGUGAGCGCAGCAGUCUAAUCCAGCUUUAUUCAUUUAAGACAGCUAGCCAAGGUUAAGCCACACCUUCCAGCCAAUGUCUUUGAACGUGUUAUUCAUCUCUUCAUUACGUGCAGACUGGACUACUGCAAUUCUUUGGUUUGGACCAGGCCUCCCUCUAUCAUCUCCAGCUGGUCCAAAAUGCAGCUGCUAACUGGAGCAUGCACUUACCGGCCGAGCCGCCUCUCACUCAUCUGAGCUCCUGUUUAUUCAUGCUCCAGAGAAAACCAUGAGGUCCAGUUCAAAACUGAUGUUAUCCAUUCCACGAACCAAACUUCAGUCUCGUGGUGACAGAGCCUUCUGUGUGGCAGGCCCCACACUUUGGAAUAGUCUUCCUCUAAAUAUUAGAUCUGCACAAACGCUCUAACAGUUUAAAUCAUUACUAAAGACACAUUUUUAUGGUCUGCCUUUUAACACACUUUGACCUAAACAUUUUGGUUUUGACAGACUUAGUUGUUAUUUUAGUUGUUUUUAUUGACUUAUUUCAUCUACUUAUUUGUUUUUUCUAUAUUUUACUAAAUCAUUGUUUUACAUUUUUUUGUUUUAGUGGCAUUUUAAAUUCUUAAGCACUUUGUGCAGGAUGGACUGUUUGGAAAUGUGCUGUAUAAAUAAACUUGACCAUGACCUGUACCUUUAA
Molecule: long non-coding RNA, 962 nt
Organism: Oreochromis niloticus (Nile tilapia)
Lineage: Eukaryota; Metazoa; Chordata; Actinopteri; Cichliformes; Cichlidae
Exons: 2
Source: RefSeq, a predicted model, not a curated record